GAUGAACGCUGGCGGCGUGCCUAAUACAUGCAUGUCGAGCGAACGGACGAGAAGCUUGCUUCUCUGAUGUUAGCGGCGGACGGGUGAGUAACACGUGGAUAACCUACCUAUAAGACUGGGAUAACUUCGGGAAACCGGAGCUAAUACCGGAUGAUAUUUUGAACCGCAUGGUUCAAACGUGAAAGACGGUCUUGCUGUCACUUAUAGAUGGAUCCGCGCUGCAUUAGCUAGUUGGUAAGGUAACGGCUUACCAAGGCAACGAUGCAUAGCCGACCUGAGAGGAUGAUCGGCCACACUGGAACUGAGACACGGUCCAGACUCCUACGGGAGGCAGCAGUAGGGAAUCUUCGGCAAUGGGCGAAAGCCUGACGGAGCAACGCCGCGUGAGUGAUGAAGGUCUUCGGAUCGUAAAACUCUGUUAUUAGGGAAGAACAUAUGUGUAAGUAACUGUGCACAUCUUGACGGUACCUAAUCAGAAAGCCACGGCUAACUACGUG
RNAcentral lists this ribosomal RNA (497 nucleotides) under uncultured bacterium. RNAcentral describes it as "partial 16S ribosomal RNA". It matches the Rfam family "Bacterial small subunit ribosomal RNA", at positions 28 to 507 of the family's 1533-position model. The record is from RNAcentral.